CUGGUGACUGGCAAGACUUCCUAUGACUUCAGCAAUGCACUGUUAAUACUGCCCACUUUCAAAGACUUGACUAAGUUCAGGAUGGAAUUCUCUGUAAGACUUGAUGCCGCAGACAGAAUUGAUCUCAGGAUAACUAAGAAUUUGAAUUUAAAUCAGUUAUAUACAUAUAUAAGACUAUAUGUAAGACAAUGACAGUUUCAAGUAAAAAGUCUUUAACCUGUUACAUUAGGGUUAACUUAAUGAUCCAGAAAAGUUAGCUUCUACUGAAAGAACUUGAUCUAGGCAGAAGUUUCUCUUACUUUGGAUGCCGUCACCUUUGAAGCAGUGGAGAAUUGAGCCUUGGAGCAUUUUAUUAAGCUUGUGCUAAAAGGACAAAUGAAUUGUACUAAGUUGAUAGGAUUUUGUGUGACUUUUGAGAAAGAAUUUUUCCAAUUAUUCAUGACUUCCAGUGUACCAGUCUUAGAAUGUUUUCAGGCUCACAUUAUGGCUUUUAGAUAUUCUGGGUUUGGGUAAACUGGACUUUGCAUGCUGCCCUGGGGAGCAUUUUUAUUUUUUCAACUUGGUUUCUACUUAUGCCAUAUGAAUAUCAUUUUAGCUGAAAAUCAUUAGAAAAAUUUAAUCCUGAAGUCAUGAGAAAGUGAAAGGUAUUAUGAAAUUUAAAAUUACCAAGCCAUAAACAAUUUUGAGGUGUCAAGUUUUGAAUUUUAAAAACCCAAAAGCAUUAUUUUGGUUUAUUUGGCUUGUUGCAUAGAAACAGAAGUUUGUUAUUUGAUAUAUAAUAAACACUUUAUAUCUAACUCUCUUUAGUCCCCAAUAGCUGUUGUGUGUUGAGGCAUCUCAUCUUGUCAGUAGGUUGAUUGUCAGAGGAAUGCACUAUGGUAUUUGGGUGAGUUUAUGUUGCUUAGAAGGAAGAAUUCUUGACAACCUAGAAGCAGUUUAUGAAAUGAGAUAUAAAGGUAAAAAUGCAUAGAGAAUUGCAAUACACUAUAGUAAUACGAUGUGUGAUUAUUUUAAUGGAAAUUUUAUGACUUUAGUACACAUGAUGCUUAUAUACUUUUUCCAUGGUUUAUAUUGCCUUGGUAGGAAUAUUCAUGAUGAACAUAAGUCUGGGAAGUUCUUAUUUGCAUAAAACAUGGAACAGAACCAGAAUUCAUGAUUCAAGUGUCAAAAACUGUAAAUAAAAGCAAUCACAGAGCUGUGGCAAGUUUCACUAGUCUUGUAGCUACACACACAAAAAUACUGUUGUGUGCAUUAGAGGAGCUUCCAGUUUCCUCUGAGGUAUGACAGUAACAUGCUGUCAUCACUUUCUCACUUUCCACUCACACUUCCAUCUUCAGCAGUCUUGCUCAUGUCCCUGCAAUGCUAUUGAAAUUGCUCUUGUUUUAGUUUCCAAAGAUCUUUCUUGCUCAUUCCAAGAUGUUUGACUUCUCUGAAACGUUUCACAGAGCCUCAUCUUGAAUUCCUUUUUCAUCCUGGCUUCGCAAUAGCAUGUUGUCUUCUGAAAAUUCUCAUAUUCUUUGGGUCUGCCUCCUACCCCUUUAGUCAUUCUUUUUCCAUCUCAAGGUAACUUUUUGUCCUCCCAUUGUCAUUAAUGUUAGACCUUCAAGCUCUUUCCUUUUGGCCUCCUCUUCCAUCUCUAUACAUUUUCUCUGAAUGUUCUCUGUCUUCUCUAGAGGUAUCACUACUAUCCAUAUGCCUAUGGCUCUCACAUAUGACCUCUGUCCUUGGCUCAGACUUAGAUGUCUGCAGGAAGCAUCUCCGGGCUAUCAGAGGAGGACCCAUUUUCUAGGAACGGCUCUCCUUUUCUAACCAUAUGUUGAAAAGGUGGUAUUGUUUGACCCUUCCCUGUACUACAGCUAAUUUGUCUGGAGAUGGGUUCUUGGUCCAAGCUUGGCCAAUAAAUUUGUGUCCUUAGAUGUUUGGGCAACCUCCUUUGAGAUCUGGGGCUGGAAUCAGGGUGGGUAUCACGUGUACUGCUUUAGGGUCCCAUUAAUUCUGAUUGUUAAAUAUUGUUAAAUAUUUUAGAUUUCACCUCUGAUGGCAGGGUACAAAGUUUGGGAGUUGCAGACAACUAUACAUACUCUCAUGUAGACCAUAUAUGCAGAGGGAGCCAGACUGUAAAUCAGAGAUGAUGAAAUUUAUUCCGUGUGAAUUGUUUCUCAAUACUAAUACUUUUUUUUUUUAAAUCAAAAACUAAACGAGAGAUUUUAGAGACAUGGGCAACCUGAGAACCAUCCAGUGUCCUGAAGGCAUUAAAUCUCUGAAUCCCUAGCUGCUGAGGUACCAUUAACCUCCUUAUCCUAGUACAUUUACGAUGAAGUCUGCUCUUUGCUAAAGCUAGCUGGAACGGCAUGUCACCUUUUAUAAAAGUGGUUAAUAAAACCUCCUGCUGCCUAUUGGACAUUUCUACUUCUAUGUUAUGAACCUCUGAUUCUCUCUUCCUCCCCCAUCACAUCCUCACCUCCAAGCCUACUUCUCCCUCCAUGGCUCAGAAAAUGGCAUCUUUACUUACUCAAACUGCUGAACUGGUCAUUAUCUUUGAUUCUUCCUAUACCUCUCACUUCUAUCCAGUCAGUCGAAUCUUGUUAUUUCUCUGUCCAUUUAUUCCCCUUACCUUUCUUCUGAAUUACCCCCCCCCCGCAGUUUCUUUAUUUGAUCACCUUGUAAAGGGUUUUCUUCCUUCUAGCCCUGCCAUCUACCAGUAAAUUCUUACUCCACAGCAAUCUCUUCCUUGGCUGCAUAGGAUCUUUAGAUUCAUACUAGAACUCUUCAUGAUCAUGUUCAUAGCUGCCUCCCUAGCUUUAUCUCCUGCCACCACCCUUGUUCAUAUGGUUCAUAUGGCUUAGUAUGAAUGAGUCUGCCUGAAAUGCAGCUAGUUCCUCUAUACCAAUGCCUUCCUUUAUCACUAUCAGAGCACCCAAAACUGUAUAACUGCCCAUUUAUCUACUAGUCUGUAAGCUGCUUGAAGCCAAGGAUAAUGUUCUGUGAUUGAAUUACUGUUGUAAUGAACACAGUGCCUGCCUUAUGGAUGCAUUCUAUACAUAUUUAUUGGACAAAUGUAUGUGUUACAAGAAUAAAAUGCUCCUGGAUAUAAGUGCAGAGUGAGAGAAGUAGAUAUUUCAGCUGGUAAGUCAAGGACAAAGUCCCUUUCCAUGAACUUUAUGUUGGGAGACAAGCAAGACUGUAACUCUGGGUUCAGUGUUUCGUGAAUUAUCACUUAGCAAUCUUAAUAAUCUUGAACACGCAGCUCUUCACGCACUGGUUCAUGUUCAUCUCUUGGGACAAGCAUUGAUUCUUUGACAUGUAGCUAGUCAGAUAGAAUCAAUUUUACUGUCUACAGCUGGUGGCAUUUUUCUCUGUGCUUUCUGUCUUUAGUUCCUUGACAUUUUUUUAGAUAUUGCUGCUUUGAUUUUUCCAGACACUGCAGUAUAAGGACUAUUAGAUUAUUAAUGACCACAGCUGUGCACAUCUCAGAAAAGUUAACUACUUAAUUGCAUUAAUAUGAGCCUCUUGAGGCUCAGUGCUGGGUUCAUAUUAGAGUGAUUGGAUGGGCUGGAUGAUAAUAUAAAUGUGGAAGGUCACUAGAGAUUUACUAGGAUGCUUGAUUUCAAACUACUCAGGCUUAAAAAUAGGAGGGUGCAGAGAGAUAUUUGAAAGCAGAUGGUUGGAAUUGUAGAAAAUCUCAGUUUGAUAAGGCUCAUAAGUCUUUGGUUCUACCAGUUGCAUAGAUGGGUAAUAAAUUUGUAACUGAGAUGUGAGUUGGUGUCACCUUGCGCCUUAGGAUUUAGGCACACCUAGCUCAUUCUCAUUCUUUGCCUUGUGGAAUGGCUCUUUCUUUUUCUAAACCUUAUGUUCAUUCCCAAAAGGCUUAUGGUUUGAUGGUCACCUAACUCCACUAUCCUGCAACUCUUGACUCCUUGUCAUUAGCUCUGUCGUAUAGUUGUUCCCUGAUCUCUGACCUGCCAUAGUUGCUGCUGACCCUAAUGGGCACACAGCCCCCCUCUUUAUACCUUAUUAAGGCAACCACAGAUACUAGUGAUCUGUGCACAGUAGAGCUUGCUAUUAAUAAUAGCAAGGCAUCCUUGCUAUUAUUAAUUCACUGUGGGAUAUUCCCACUGGCUGCACUACCUGCUAAGGAUCCCACUUCUCUCAGUUUUUCUUUAUUGGGAUUUUUCCUCUUUAGAACCUUUGUAGUUUAAAAUCAUCAUCUUUUAUAUCACUUACAUAGAACAUUUAUUCCACAGUGAGUAGAGAGAUGGGAGUUUCUGAUUUGUGGACAGAGAAGUGGGAACUUUUAAAAAGUUAGAGCUCUGUGGAAGUGGGUGGCCCACCUCUGGGGGCUUCUAAGUGAGAUGUUACAGGAUGCCCUCUGCUUAUCCUUAAAGGGCAGAAGCACAGAUAGAUAACACAUAAAAAAGCUUGUUUUUUUAAUCUUUAUGCCCGUUUCUUGGUGAGGCCAUUUCUGAUGUGAAGACUUUGGGCAAAGGCCAAGGAGAAUGAGGCCUAUAACCAGCAAAUACUCAAGUACAUUUAUAUUUAUAGAAAGAUGGUUGGUGCCUGCCUAGACACAUGUUGGUUUAUUCCCUCUCUUCUGUUGGGUGGUCACUGCUCUCUCAUCAUCUCAUUUUAAGGGAAAUUUGCUCCUUUAACUAAGGUUUAACUAGUAAUAUUUAAGCUUUUCCUAGGGGAUACCAACCAAAUGACUUACUCAGGACAGGAAGAUAAUGCAAAUAAAAAAGGAACUGGGUGUAAAUAGAGAACAGAGAUAAAUGAUUCAGCUCCUGGCGUGUCUAGAAGAGGCAAUGAUAGGUGCUGAGGAAAUGCCAAACUCUGAGUGUAGCUCACAGGCUGAGGGCACGAUGCCUUCCUCUGUGUAUUCAAACCCAGAGCCUGUUGCUCAGCUCAAACGAAGAGUCAUAAAAUUUAUUACCUAUUAAUGCAAACAAACAAAAAACAAAACAUGGUAUGAGAUCCACACCAUGAGUUUCAAGCAAUGCAGAGGGAAGGUGGGGUCUGACCUGAGGGUCAGGACUAUUUGGCCUGCACUCGCGGUUCACACUUUGCAGCUUCAGCAGAAACUCGGCUCCGCUCUCCUUCUUCUCUUUGUAGCCCUUCUCCAGUGGUGAGAAACCUGACUCCCACUUCCUCUGACAGAUGUACCCAUUUGUUCCAGCAGUGGAUGCACAGAGCAUAGUUUCUGAAUUACUAACCCUGACCAUGAGAAGAGCAAACCUUUGUACAUGCACACGUGUGUACCUGAUCAAAACAGGCCCUUCCCGUUGCGCCAGAAAGCUCCACUGUGCUUUUCCUCCAGAAGUAGAUUAUGCUGUAGCUACUUCAGCUCACUUCCUUUUUCAGGUUCUCUGGAUCCAGGUAAUAUCCAAAAGUGUGCUGGUGUACUUCACAUUGAGCUGAUGCAGGAUUUUAGAUAGAAGAAUCUUCAAAAUUAAAGGGCAUUUUGUCAAAUUCUUAACCAGUACUCCUCAAAACUGUAGGGAUCAUGAAAAAUAAGAAAUGUCUGAGAAAUUUUGAAUAUUUGUAAUAUAAUUUAUUAAAACUAUUAAAAUUAUUCAGAACUUUGGCACAUAAAAAGCUCAUAUAGAUUUUGUAGGUCAGGAAACAGGAUCUGACUAAGACACAUCUGAAGAAAUAUCAGCUCCAUAUAAGACUUGUUAACAUAACUGGUGCUGAUUUUGACCAAAGUCACAAUCACCUUCUUUCAAAUCUCUCUUUGCACCUUGUAAGCAGGAAAAGCAGUUUUAAAUCGAGCAUAAUAGAGCAUGUGCAAGCUGGGCUAUCGUGAGCAUAUUAACUUCUCUGAGCCUCUGCUUUCCUGUCUCUGAAAUACAGUGACAGUCCUUACUUCAUAGGGUUGAUUUUGGGGUUAAGUAGAGAAAAUCCAUGUACAAUGCUUAGCAGAGAAGUAGAUACAUAGCAACUGUUCAAUAAACAGUAGCCAGUGUUAUUAGUAUUGGUUAGAAGGUGUCACAUAUACACUUCUAUCCCCAGAUUCAUCAUAGCUUCCUGUUUAAUUGCCCCAUCCCCCUCAGUAAUCCAUGAACUUCUUAAGGCCAAGAUUAUUUUCUUGUUUACCAUUGUCUCUCUAACUAGUAUGACUGCAUAUAGAAAAUACACAAUGAAAGUUUGUAAGUGAACUUUUUUUUCCCUAUGAAAUGAGAACAUUUCACAAAUUACUUUUCUGGAAUCCACUGUCCUAUGACUAUUCUCUUCUCAUUUUGACAGCUCCGCAGUAUCAUGGUAUGUGCAGCCAUUUGACUCUGAAGUAUUAUUACCUCCUACAGGUAUAAAUACACCUAUGCUGGGUAUUGGGAGAUCUUGUCAUAGGCUCUGGAGGCAGUUUCCUGACCCUUCCUACAUCACUUUCAUACUUAGUUUCUUUGUGCAGGAUGAUUCUGCUCUGUCUUCUUAAUGACAAAGGUCAUUUGGGCUCUACCAUGGGAGACAUUUUAAAGUUACUGUGUCUCUCUUCAAAGUUUAGGCUUGAAAACAUUAAAACAGAUGGUAGUACUUGGAGGGUAAUUAAUUUUCCUUUGGAGAAAUAAUCGCUUUCCUUUAAAAUAAAUUAUGCCUCCCUUUUUUUCCAAGAGGUAAUGGUUUAGUAAAUUGAGCAAUGAACUGGGUUGCCCUUGACUAGGAUUUAGGGGAAAAGGAGAAAUAUUUGGUGAUUCUGGCCCUGUCUGGCUGUGUGAAUUUGGGAGCCUCACGUUCUUGGGUGAUUGGGAAGAUUAAAUAAAACAGCAUUUUUAAGCGUACAGAAUGAGGCUUUAGAAUGGUUAGCCAAUAUAAUUUUUUAGAGGUAGAAAGGGGAUAUUACUAAUGAUCUCGUUGAUAUUGUAUAGACACUUAGAGUCUUAUCAAAGUACUAAUGAAGCACCCCAAGGGAGUUCCCAUCGUGG
Molecule: long non-coding RNA, 6917 nt
Filed under: Sus scrofa (pig)
Lineage: Eukaryota; Metazoa; Chordata; Mammalia; Artiodactyla; Suidae
Description: lncRNA (ENSSSCG00000062979.1)
Source: RNAcentral